GGGCCCGUAGCUCAGCCUGGCUUGGAGCGUCCGGCUGAUAACCGGAAGGUCGUGGGUUCGAAUCCCACCGGGCCCA
RNAcentral lists this transfer RNA (76 nucleotides) under Nitrososphaerota archaeon. Its description in RNAcentral is "tRNA-Ile". It matches the Rfam family "tRNA". Rfam says of the family: Transfer RNA (tRNA) molecules are approximately 80 nucleotides in length. Their secondary structure includes four short double-helical elements and three loops (D, anti-codon, and T loops). The record is from RNAcentral. RNAcentral also lists the same sequence under 1 other name. Lineage: Archaea; Thermoproteati; Nitrososphaerota.